UACGUAGGCAGCAAGCGUUGUUCGGAGUUACUGGGCGUAAAGGGUGUGUAGGCGGUCCCCUAAGUUUGGUGUGAAAUCUCCCGGCUCAACUGGGAGGGUGCGCCGAAAACUGGAGGGCUAGAGUACUGGAUGGGAGAGUGGAAUUCCUGGUGUAGCGGUGAAAUGCGUAGAUAUCAGGAGGAACACCUGUGGUGUAGACGGCUCUCUGGACAGUAACUGACGCUGAGACACGAAAGCGUGGGUAGCAAACAGG
RNAcentral lists this ribosomal RNA (253 nucleotides) under uncultured bacterium. RNAcentral describes it as "partial 16S ribosomal RNA". It matches the Rfam family "Bacterial small subunit ribosomal RNA", at positions 524 to 776 of the family's 1533-position model. The record is from RNAcentral.